RNAcentral lists this ribosomal RNA (395 nucleotides) under uncultured bacterium. Its description in RNAcentral is "partial 16S ribosomal RNA". It matches the Rfam family "Bacterial small subunit ribosomal RNA", at positions 338 to 730 of the family's 1533-position model. The record is from RNAcentral.
CCUACGGGAGGCAGCAGUGAGGAAUAUUGGUCAAUGGGCGUAAGCCUGAACCAGCCAAGUCGCGUGAGGGAUGAAGGUUCUAUGGAUCGUAAACCUCUUUUAUAAGGGAAUAAAGUGUGGGACGUGUCCUAUUUUGUAUGUACCUUAUGAAUAAGGAUCGGCUAACUCCGUGCCAGCAGCCGCGGUAAUAAGGAGGAUCCGAGCGUUAUCCGGAUUUAUUGGGUUUAAAGGGUGCGUAGGCGGCCUUUUAAGUCAGCGGUGAAAGUCUGUGGCUCAACCAUAGACGUGCCGUUGAAACUGGGGGUCUUGAGUAUGUUGGAGGCAGGCGGAAUGCGCGGUGUAGCGGUGAAAUGCAUAGAUAUCGCGCAGAACCCCGAGUGCGAAGGCAGCCUGCC